GGCAGCAGCAUGGUUUAUACAGGCCUGAUAACCUGUGGGUAGAGUCACAUCAAGAUGCAAAUCACGGGUCAUGGAAGAAUAUAUGUUUCAUAUUUGAGAGAUAUGCCCUAGCAUGCUUGGGCGUGCCCUACAUAUAGCUUCUAGUGGUCUUGCCUUCGGAACGGUGAACCCGGGCUCUCGGUCAUAUCCACCAUUUUAUCACCAAUCCUCUGCCACUCGAAACAUUGAAGGAGCGAGCCCAAUGCUAAUCCCACCACUCUCAUGGCCAAGCCUUCUCCAGGACAGCUCCUCCUUCCAUGCCCGAAAGGCAUCAACUUGAACUCGUCUCUUCCCCCCUCCGGGUUGUCGAACCUCUCAGGUCUGAAUUUUGUAGGGUCUGGCCAGAUUUUAGGGUCAUUUUGAAUGGCCCAAUUAUUUACAGAGAGCAUCGUGCCCCGUGGAAUGCGGAAUCCCCCAACCAGGCAUUCUUCUGAUGACUCAUGAGGUACUAGCAACGGAGCUGGCGGGUACAUCCGUAACGUCUCGUUGAGGAUGCUGCGGAGGUAGGGAAGGCGUGCAAGAUCAGCUUCAUCCAUGAAACGAUCAUGCCCAAUCUGCUCGUCGAUUUCUCCCUGAGCCUUCUCGAGGACUUGGGGAUGGUUGAGCAACAGUGAAAGUGCCCAUUCCAUUGUAGCAGAUGAAGUGUCUGUUCCCGCCAACAAGAGCACCUGCAAACCAAACCAAAUUGUGGUGUAAUUAAUUCCAUAGACGAUGCAAGCAGUGGAGAUAUCUUGUAGAAAUAAAUAAAUAAAAGACGAUGCAAAGAAAAUCACCAAAGUGACCUCCUACACCCUUGUCAGUUCAAUGCACCUUGGUUGUGUCUUAUGAGUUAUGACUUGAAUAUUCUAAUUCACAGGUUUGCCAUUGCGCAUUUCAUUAACCAUUAUCUUGACAAAAGCUACAUGAUCCAAAGACAAAAAAUGUCCCUUCUUCCACGCAAAGUAGCGGUGUCCGUACUAACUUCCAUUAUCUAUAUAAUUGGUGAUAACAUUAGUCCAUUAAACAUCUCAAUGUUAAAAUGGCUACUUAAUGUUAACAUUUUAAAGCUACAAGAUUCCUCUUACAAAAUAACUAGUCCAUUUAAAAAGAUCGAUAGACAAAAACAUGUCCCUUCAAUGAUUCACAUUACAAUAUAAUGAAGAACAUUUGACAAUUCUGAAUUAUGAUCUAAACAAAAAAGAACAGUGCUGCAUAUCGGUAUCCCAACUCAAUUGAUCAUAAUAAUUAGUAAAUCAAACAACAUGAUUAAACAUCUUACCAGUAUAAUCCCUUUGAUGACAUCGUCCGAGUAAUACCCAGAUUCCGUUUCUUGCAGGGACAGCAGAACCUGAAUCAAAUUCGUUUUCUUUUCGCCACAACAAUCACUCUCCACUAUUUUUCUCCGCUGCUCUUCUAUCAAGUACUGCAUGAAACUAUCGCUCUUUAGAUGGCACUCUGUCAAUCUCUUCUCCAUCUUUUUUGAUUUAAUCCACGGUAUAAAGUCUCCAAUAAUGGUUUUGCCACCUAGCAAGAAGCUUUCAGCAUGAAUUGCGCGAAACCUUUUUGCUUCUUCCACAUCAGAAACAUCCUCUCCAUAAUAUCUCUUUCCAGCUAUCAUCCGCAUCAUUAUAUUCAGUGUCAAUUCGAAGAAAACUGUCUUCAUAUCUACAAUCUGAUUUUGAUUACGAAAGAGAACACAAAUCAUUGACUUCACCUCCUCCAGACGUAUGGCAGAGAGCAUUUGGAGGCGGUGUGCAGACAGGACUUCAAUAGAGACGAUUCUCCUAAGGUUUCGCCAGUGGUCGCCAUAGGGAGCCCAAGCAAGGCUUGUGCUGUUGUAGGCGAGGUGUUUUGCAAUGAGCAAACGUGGGCGGUUUGCAAAGACAACAUCAUUUUUGGUAAAGCAUUCUUCAGCUAUCGAAGGGGAUGAGACAACAAGUUGUCGACGAGACCCGAGUUGGAGCAAGAUUACGGGGCCAUGUUUACUAGAGAUUUUUGAUAGUGUCCUGUAAAUUGGCUUCUUAAGUAGGUAGAGAUGGCCAAUGAUUGGUAGUGAAGGGAAUGGACUCGGUGGGAAGUUUCUUAUCUUGUUUAGGAAGUGCGCUGUUAUGAUAUACAAGGCUAAAAACACAGGAAAGUAGAGAAAGAAGGUUGCCAUGGAUUUGGCAAUAGCCACUGCCACUGUCCUUGUUUUUUAGGGAGGUGUGUGAAUUAUAUUGUGCGUGUCUUGAUGAGAGCAUCUAUAUGUUAAUUAUUUCAUACUAGGAGUCACGGAAAUGAAAGAAACAGAAUUGAAAUUUCUUGAGGUCGAGUCUGCUCGUCUUAUCUCAUCGAUAUAAAAAGCAACUAUGGACGUGAUGACUGAUGAGGUCAGUGCAGACGUGUCUGUAUUGAACUAGUUACGUGCGAAGUUAUUAAACGGGACACGACACGAGCUUUUGGUAAUGACUAAUGAGUUAAAUAUUAAGCAUAACAUGCGUUUGAAGAUUUUUUUAAAAUAUUAAAUAUAAUAUUGUUUAAAUUUCUUUUCAAAAAAUAAUUUUUAUAUGGUUAAUUCAAUUAAAAGUUGACUUAUCAAGUCAGAAAUUCAUUCGACACUUAGCGCAGGAGCUAGAAACCAAAACAUAUAUAGAUCAUGCAAGGAACGCCAUAAUCAACUAACAGCUACGAUCUCUAGAGAGAAUUAGUUGCCAAGUUGGGAAAUCACAUGUAUCCCUUCCAAAGGUGCCCAGAGGACGGGGCAGACGCAUCAGAGCGACAACCCGGGAGCGGAUUCCCUACCGGCAAGGGGGCAGGAGACGGUCAUCUCGAGGCACAUCACGACCUACAGGCAAGAUCGACGAGGCUAGUGGAGGUCACGACCCACGGCAAGGUGGCCUUCCACGCAGUCACUAUAUCUAUAUGAAUAUCGUUCUUGAACUUCUAGAGCUAGCCCAGUCCAAAAGAGGCUAGUGAAGGUCACAUGAAUGGAAAGCCCUUGAUUCCUAAUUUAAAAAAAAAAAAACAAAAAAACCAAAGAUUUCUUGCUUUUAUUGCCAAAUCGUAUGUGAACAAAUUUUAUUUGCUGCAAUGCUCCCUUGUUUUCUAAAAUCUUAGUCAUUUCGCAAGUGGCACUUAUGAAAAUUCUUCCUUUUUCAAAUUAUAUACAAAAGCAUGGUAGUGUCUCCAUUCUCCACAAGUCUCAACUUACGAGAGCAGGUGCUAUCUGCUAGAUUAGAAAAAGGCAUGGCAAUGUCUGAAAGAACAAGGCAAAUUCAACUGAUAAAAAACUACCGAAGCAAAGAGACUGUGAACAAAUGGCAAGAGUAAAGGUUUCCCUACUUUUUUUUAUGCAGCAUAUAAAUGGAGGGAGGAUAUAUGAUACGUGGCAGUUAUUCUUUCGAUCACAAGUGAAAUGGAAGGCAGCCAUUUUUUUUUUUAUAAGCAAAAGGUAAUAAAGCCCAAGAAAGGCACAAACCAUAGCCAUGUGAUAAUAUGGAAACUGUCAUAAUCUAUUUUUCAAUUAUUUUUUAAAUUUACUUUUAAAAAUAAAUAUAUAACAUAAAAUAAAAUAAAAACUUGUGAUAUGGAGAAAACAUAUCAAAAAGGAUCCCAAACAUAUAGGAAAAUAAAGUUGCAAUUUUAGAUAAAUUUUGAGGCCUGAUUAUACAUCAUUAUACCCAGGAUUGAAGAUACAAUGCAGAUUCAAGGUCAAAUUAAAUAAUUACUGGAUGAAUUUGUAUAAAAAUUAAAUCCAAUGAUAUAAUUAAAUUUUUAAUAAACCCAUUCGAUUUAAUCAUGAGUCAAAUUAAAGUUUAAUUAUGUUUGAGAAUUAAUUUGGGUCCAAUUGAAGAAUUUAAUUAGGUGCAAGGACGUAAUUAAAUUUUAAAUGAGUCAAAUUAAUUUUAUUAAGGGUUUAGUUAGUGAAAACUUAAUUUUGGAAGCCUAAUUUGGGUUUAAUUGAAAAUAUUAGAAUUUUAGGAAAUCAAAUUUAAUUUUUACAAAAUCAAUUGAUUGAAAUCAUGGAUAAAAUAAAAUAAAGUUUUCAGGUUGGGUAGGGGAUAAAUUAAAGAAUUUUAUAGCUAAUGAUCAAUUUACAAAAGUCGUCGAACUAUAAAAGCUUAAUUCAUUGCAAUCGAGGUGAAAAUAAAGAAAUUAAAAGUUUCAUGGUUAAUUAGGUGCACAAUUAUAUAAAUCCGAGAUCAAUGACUAAAAUGAAAACAACAUAAAAUGAGGUCUGAUAUUAUAAUUCAACGGGGCCUAAAUUAUAUUAAAUCCAAAGUUUAGGGUUAAUUAAAUGUACAAUUAAAGAAAUCAAAAGUCAAAUGACCAAAAAGAACUUUGACUAAAAUUUAUAAUUCAAACAUAAAACAAUGACAUUUCAAAUUAAAAAAAUAAAAAACCAAACAUCAUUAACAAUACUCUAAAAGACAUGGAAAUGUAUUGUAGCUUCUCCCAUGCCUUUUAUUUUCGUUGUACUAAUAUCUUUAUUUUUUUUGUCUUUAAAUUCCUCACGCCUUUUAUUUUUGUUGUACUAAUAUAUAUAUAUAUAUAUAUUUUUACAUGUUUUCCCCCCAUGAUUCACUUCUUUUUAAAAAAAAUUAUAUGUUUUUUUCAAAAUUAUUUUUGCUGAUUGUUUUUUAAUAUUAAACUAGUUGAGAAUUUCGCUCUGUUAUUUAAAACAAAACAUUGUAAAUUGAUAAGGUAUUUUCCUCACAUGGUUUUUCUUUUGCUACAAUAUCUCUUUAUAUGGUUUUUUUUUCAAAAUUCUCUUUGUUGAUUUUUUUUUUAAUAUUGAGCUGGUUAACAAUUUAUCUUUAACUUUCCCCGCAUGUUUUUUUCUUUAUUUUUUGUUUUUUUAUUUUUUUCCCAAAAUUGUGUUAUUUUUUCUGUGUGUUUUUUUUUAGAAUUGUUUUUGUCGACUUUAUUUUUUUAAUAUUGAACUGGUUGAGAAUUUAGCUUUAUAGAUUUUUCAUUAAAACACUGUUGAUUGCUAUAGUGUUUUUCCAUAUGGUUUUGUUUUUCCAGAAUUGUCUUUGUUAAUUUUAGUUUUUUUCAUAUUUAGCCGAUUGAUAAUUUAGAUUUGUAGUUUUUUUCUUAAAAAAAAAAAACAUUGUGGAUCGUUACAAUAUUUAUCUACAUGAUUUUUCCUUGCUACAAUGUUUUUUCACAUGUUUUUUUAUCAAUUUUUUUCAAAUUUAUCUUUGUCAAAUUUAUUUUUUCUAUAUUAAGUUAGUUGAAAAUUUAGUUUUGUAGCUUUUUUCUUCAAAACACCGUUGAUUGCUAAAGUGUUUCCUCACAUGAUUGAUUUUUGUUAUAAUUAUUUUCAAAAAUUUCUUUAUCGAUUUUAUUGUUUUUAAUAUUGAACUGAUUGAAAAUUACAACUGUAGAUUUUCUCAUGAAACACUGUAGAUUACUACAGUGUUUUCAUGCAUAGUUUUUUUUUUCCUUUCGUUUUUAAUUUUUUUUUAAAAUUAUCUUUAUUGAUUUAUUUUUGUAAUAUCGAGUUGGUUGAUAAUUACAACUGUAUAUUUCAUCACAAAAUAUUUUAGAUUGCUGCAGUGUUUUUUCUACAUAAUUAUUUUUUCUUUUGUUUUUUUUAUGAUUUUUUUCAAAAUUAUCCUUGUUUAUUUUUUUUUUAAUAUUAAACUGGUUAGAAAUUUAGCUUUGUAGUUUAAUUUUUCUUGAAAAUAUUGUGGAUUGUAAUAGUAUUUCUCUAUGUAAUUAUUUUUUAUGAUUUUUUCUAUAAAUGCAUAAUAACAUAUAAACAUGCUAUAAAUCCACGGCAGCACGCGGCCAUGGCAACUAGUAUCAUCUCGAUACUGUUUAUUAUCUUUAUAUUAUUAUUAUUCACCUAAAAAGCCAUAGGAUGCAUGCUUGGGCGUGCCCUACAUCUAGCUUGCAGUGGUUUUGCCUUUGUACUGGUAAACCCGGGCCCCUCGGUCAUAUCCACCAUUUUAUCACCAAUCUUCUGCCAACCGAAACAUUGAAGGAGCGAGCCCAAUGCUAAUCCCACCACUCUCAGGGCCAAGACUUCUCCAGGACAGCUCCUCCUUCCAUGCCCGAAAGGCAUCAACUUAAACCCGUCUCUUCCCCCCUCCGGGUUGUCGAACCUCUCAGGUCUGAAUUUUGUAGGGUCUGGCCAGAUUUUAGGGUCAUUUUGAAUGGCCCACAUAUUUACAGAGAGCAUCGUGCCCCGUGGAAUGCGGAAUCCUCCAACCAGGCAUUCUUCUGAUGACUCAUGAGGUAGUAGCAACGGCGCUGGCGGGUACAUCCGCAACGUUUCGUUGAGGAUGCUGCGGAGGUAGGGAAGGUGGGCAAGAUCAGCUUCAUCCAUGAAACGAUCAUGCCCAAUCUGCUCGUCGAUUUCUCUUUGAGCCUUCUCGAGGACUUGGGGAUGGUUGAGCAACAGUGAAAGUGCCCAUUCCAUUGUAGCAGAUGAAGUAUCUGUUCCCGCCAACAAGAGGACCUACACACCAAACCGAAUAGUGGUAAUUAAUUCCAUAGACGAUGCAAAGAAAGUCACCAAAGUGACCUCCCACUCCCUUGUCAAUUCACAAUGGUGGUGUAACUUGACACGGAAACAACUUCUAGCAGUGGAGGUAUCUUACUGCUUGUAGAAAUAUCAAAUAAAGAUGAUGCAAAUCAAAUCACCAGAGUGAUCUCCCACACCCUUGUCAAUUCAAUACACCUUGGUUGCGUCUAUUUCUAAUACAUAAAGUUUGGUGCUAUACAUUAGACUUGUGAGUCACCUAAUCUCAAGGCAAUUAGACUUAGCAUGCUAAGUUCUAAGUGAAGUAGGUCUAAUUGAUAUUUAUUUUUCAUUCAGUAUUAUCAAUAAUUACAAUGCAAUUCCUCAUAUUUUACAUAAAAACAAGAUUUAGAAGCUAUAUAUACAUGAUAAAUGCUUCAUAAAAAAGUUUAUAUUUUUCAAUUCUCUACUCCUUUAAUAUUUGAAAUUUAUCACCGAAUGAUUUUUAAGUUCCUCCAAUUAAAAUUGUUUUUUUAGUAUUCAAGACUAUCUUUGUAAAUUUAAAGUUUUUUAAAUUUAAAAACAUUUGAAUACCUUAACUUAAUAAUUAACUCCUGUCCCAAAAACUAAAUAAACUAUUAAUUUAUAUUGAAAAUUUUAAUAUUUAACAUGUCAAUGUUAAAAAGGUUACUUAAUGUCAACAUUUUAAAGCUACAAGAUUCCUCUUACAAAAUAACCAGUCCAUUUAACAAGAUCGAAAGAAAAAACAUGUCCCUUCAAUGAUUCACAUUAUAAUACAAUGAAGAACAUUUGACAAUUCUGAAUUAUGAUCUAAACAUAAAAGAACAGUGCUGCAUAUCGGUAUCCCAACUCAAUUGAUCAUAAUAAUUAGUAAAUCAAACAACAUGAUUAAAGAUCUUACCAGCAUAAUCCCUUUGAUGAGAUCGUCCGUGUAAUACCCAGGUUCAGUUUCUUGCAGGGACAGCAGAACCUGAAUCAAAUUCGUUUUCUUUUCGCCACAACAAUCACUCUCCACUAUUUUUCUCCGCUGCUCUUCUAUCAAGUACUGCAUGAAACUAUCGCUCUUUAGAUGGCACUCUAUCACUCUCUUCAACAUCUUUUCUGAUUUAAUCCACGGUAUAAAGUCUCCAAUAAUGGUUUUUCCACCUAGCAAUAGGGUUUCAGCAUGAAUUGCUCGAAACCUUUUUGCUUCUUCAACAUCAGAAACAUCCUCUCCAUAAUAUCUCUUUCCAGCUAUCAUCCGCAUCAUUAUAUUCAGUGUCAGUUCGAAGAAAACUGUCCUCAUAUCUACAAACUGGUUCUGAUUACGGAAGAGAACACAAAUCAUUGACUUCACCUCCUCCAGACGUAUGGCAGAGAGCAUUUGGAGGCGGUGUGCAGACAAGACUUCAAUAGAGACGAUUCUCCUAAGGUUUCGCCAGUGGUCGCCAUACGGAGCCCAAAGAAGGCUUGUGGUGUUGUAGGCGAGGUGUUUUGCAAUGAGAUAGCCUGGGCGGUUUGCAAAGACAACAUCAUUUUUGGUAAAGCAUUCUUCAGCUAUCGAAGGGGAUGAGACAACAAGUUGUCGACGAGACCCGAGUUGGAGCAAGAUUACGGGGCCAUGUUUACUAGAGAUUUUUGAUAGUGUCCUGUAAAUUGGCUUCUUAAGUAGGUAGAGAUGGCCAAUGAUUGGUAGUGAAGGGAAUGGACUCGGUGGGAAGUUUCUUAUCUUGUUUAGGAAGUGCGUUGUUAUGAUAUACAAGACUAAAAACACAGGAAAGUAGAGAAAGAAGGUUGCCAUGCAUUUGGCAAUGGCGUCGGUUUCUUUUUUGUUAUUAUUAAUAUGGGAGUCUGGAUUUAGAAAGUUACCUUAAAUUGUUUUGUGCGUGUCUUGGUACUAGGAGGCACAGUAAUGAAAGUAACAGGGUUGAAAUUUCUUGUGGUCGAGCAUGCUUGGCUUAUCUCAUCAUAUUAAAAGCAACGAUGGACGUGUUGAGGCCAGUGCUGACGUAUUUGUAUUGAACUAGUUACCUGCGAAGUUAUUAAACGGGACACAACACGAAUUUUUGGUAAUGAGACAGGCUAGGUGGAGCAUGUAGUAUUUAUUCUUAAAUACAUACAUACAUACAUACAUACACACACACGUAAAUAUACAUAUUAAAAUAACUUUUUUAUUUCUAAAAUUUAUUUUUAAUAUUAAUAUUGUCCCAUUCGACAUUACAACGACCUAUAAAACAAAUUAAUUCAAAAAAAAAUAAAAAUUGAUAUCUUGUUUUUAAAUAAAAAAAAAUUUAAUUCAAAGAGUUGUUAUCUAGUAUUAUAUUCACUAAAAAAUCUAAUUGGUUAUGAUAAAUAAUCGUGUUGAAAGAUUAUUUUCUUAUUGAUAUUAUGUUGAAUGGAUGUAUCAAAAGAUUAUUUCAUGAUUAAUUAAAAUAAUAUCAUAUUAAAUAAACAUGUUGAAAGAUUAUUUCAUGAUUAAUAAAAAUAAUAUUUUAUUGAAUAGACGUGUUGAAAAAUUAUUUUUUAUUAAUAAAAAAAAUCCCUUGUUAAAUGAGCAAGUAAAUUAUUAUUUUAUGAUAAAUGAAAAUAGUGUACUAAUCAAUGAGCUGAGAAUGUUAUUUUCUAAUUAAUGAGUAUAAUUCCUAGUAAAGAUUGGCAUUGAGGUUAAUAUAUUGAUGAUAAGUUACUUCAUUCAAUCAACGAUGCAGUGAAUGCGUUUUUAAGCAUGAAUUAAAUUGUUUUUUUGAUUGUUUAUUAGUAAAUUUUAAUAUUACCUAGGUAUAUAUACAUUCCAUAUGAAUAUGUUUUUAUAUAUCUGCACUCUUUAGUUGGGAAGUAGAUGUAUUGAUGAAAGUUUUUUUAUAGAAUUAAUUAUGUAUUUGAAGAAAUUAAUAUUUUAUUGUUAUGUAACCUGUUGUUUAAAAUUUUAAAUGUUUAAAUUAUAUUUUAUAUACGAUGUAAUUGAGGAUAUUACCUCAUUGAGGUAGCAUAUAAUUUUGUUGCACGUCAAAUUAAACAUGUCUAUUUUUUAAAGAAAUUGAUGCUUGCUGUGAACUAAUCAAUUUUAAAAUUUAGUUUUAUGGAAUAUUAUAAUGCUAACUCAAAAAAAAAAAAAAACAAGAAGAAGAAGAAGAAGAAGUUGAUAUUGUAGUUGAGUUGUGAAGUUAGUAUAACGAGACGAGCAUUGUCAUUAUUAUCUGUAGGUUAAAUUUUUUUUCAAGUCAAUAAUUUAUUAUUAAAAAUACAAAAAAACUUUACUGAAAUUCUAAUAUAUAUAAAAAAUCACACCCAGUAAAAUCAACACAUGUAUAUAUACAUACAUACAUAUAUAUAUUUAUUUAUAUAUGCUUUUUUUUUGGGCUGUUACACAAGGUGUACCGAAAGAAACCCCACCGGAUCCGAGGCUUGUCGUAUUGAGAUAUUGUCGGGCGCCAAGUUUACUGACUACUCACCUACCAGUACGCUGUGCCUUACCGUUAGAGAUCUUUGGAUGGUUUAGGAAGAGUGAUAUUUUCUAGUUUAAUUAUUUUCCAGUACGUGGCCUUGGCCCAGCAAGGUUUGUACAAUUGUAGGCGAGGUGUUUUGCAGCAGCAAAAGAGGGCUGUUUGCAAAGACAACAUUAGAGGCCAAGGCCCACGGGCCAGGCACACUCCUAGUGGCUGGGCUCGAACAGAGGGUGUUGGAUGUUUGCCCACCACUUCGGCUCGUACACUCGGCCAGCACCUGGGCUCGGUCAUGUUUCCCGAUUCUUAAAGGAAUGUGAAUUUAGUAAUUGAUGCUGUAAUUAUUAUGGAUUUAUGCUAAAAGUGAACAUCUUUUUAUAAGAGUCAAUCGAGUAAAACUAGCUGAAUUACUUUUUUUAUGCCCAAAUUAAACUUAAAAAAAGGUUGUUGUUUUGGAAUUUUCUUUAUUAUUAUUGGAUUUUUUUACUUGAUUAGGUUUGAAAUAUUUAUUUAUUUUAUAUUUUAUUAGUUAUGUUAGUUUGGCUUAUUAUUUAAAACAAUCUUGCAAAUCAUUGAUAUUCAAAACCUGUUAAAUUAAAAUUCUCUUUACAGCUUACCUGUAAUUUUAGAGUUUACCAGUCAAUUGCUUACACACUAUCCUGAGAAGAUGUAAUGUUAUUAUGCGUAUACAAACUCGGCGAGUUAUUAUGGUGAUUUCAAUCUUUAAACCGAACUAAAUUUUAAAAUAAAUAAUGAGAAAAUUUAUUUAAUUUAACAUGGUUGACUUGUUUACCGCACUCAUUAUUUAGUUAAUCUGGCCAAAACAUAAAUUUAAUUUUGUUCUUAUUUUAGGAACGAAGAGGAUUUAGAUUUAAUUUUUUUUAAAAAAAAAACUGCUUAUAAUGUUUUAUCAUAUUGUAUAUUCACAACACUCCAAUUUCCUUAUGUCUUGCAUACAUGUACAAUUGUGCAAAUUGACUGCCACCCAAAAAGUAGCAAAUCAAUGCAGGCAGGAUGUAUGACACGUGACUGUUAUUCUUUCCAUUAGAAGUGAAAUAGGAGGGAAGUAGUUCAACACUUCAACUGAUAGUUAUUGGAUGAGGGAGAGUAAGAUAAUAAUUAUUUUUAGUAGUUAUAAAUUUAUUAAAAAUGUAUUUUUUUUUUAAAUAUUAAUAUAUUAAAAUUAUUUUAAAAAACUAAAAAAUAAAUUUCAAUAAAAAUCAAAUUUUAAUGAAAAAUAAAUUACUCUGCAACUCAAACAAGAUCUAGGACAGGUUUGUUUUUUAUAAAAUGGUUUUCGAGAAACUAUUUUCCAAACUUUUAUGUGUUUGUUUGCCAUUAAAGAAGUUGGUCAAUGAAAAACAUUUUCCAGUUAAAGAAAAAUUUUACUUAGUUUCUAGAAAAGUGUUUUCCUGAAAAAUUUGAAUAGAAAACACUUUUUGGAAGUUAUGAAAAAUUUAGAAAUGUCAUAUUAUUUGCUGAUUAUAUCAAAUUUGGUCCUCAAACUUUUAAUUGUUAUAUAUAUUUUGUUUUGAAUAUUUAUUUUUCAAUCUCAUCUUCUAAAAUUUAAUUUUUAUAUUAAUUUUGGUACUUAUUUUUAUAAUUAUUAUUUGUUUUUUACUUGUCAUUUUUUAUUGAAAUUUUUUAUUGAAAUUUUUUAUCUAUCAAAUUUUGGUACUCAUUCUUUUGAUUGUUACUUAUUUUAUUUGAAAUAAAUUAUGAAUGUUAAUUAUUAUUAUUUUAAUUUAUUCAUCUUUUAUUUUUUUUUAUUAGAUUAAAUUUCUAUUAUUUUGAUUAUUAUUUAUUUUAUUUGAGAUAAUUUAUAAAAUUAUAUUUUUUUUCAAUUUCAUUAUUAUUGAACUUUUUAAUUUGUAAAAUUUAUUUCUCAUUAUUUUAAUAAACUUGAAAAAAAUAAAAUAUCAAUAAGCUAUUUUACAGCUCAUUUUCUAUGAUAUAACCAAAUACUAAAAAGUAUUUUUUAAUUUAUUUUUUAUUACACUAACAAACAUCAAAAAAUAAUUUAUUUUUAAAAAAAAAAAAAAUUUUUAAAAAAACUAUUCUUUAGCAAACAAAAUGCCUAAAAAUAUUUGGGAUUGAGUUGCCGUGAAGUGAGGUUAGAUUUUUUUUGCAGUACGAUCCCUUUUGAAACACAAAUAUCAAGAAAAUCCACACCCACUGAAAAUUAAAAACACAUACUCUUUAUUAAUUUUUUUUAAAAUCCCAUAAAAAAACAAAUCCUUAUCUUGCCUCACCCAAAUCCAAAAGACACCUUAUAAUGCUUAGGUUAUGCAGGCCACGUAACCUAUAGGUAGAGUCACAUCAAGAUAUCAAUCAAAAGUCAUGGAAGAAUAUAUGGUUCAUAUUUGAGAAAGAAGCGGAAGCAUGCGUGGGCGUGCCCUACAUAGAGCUUCUAGUGGUUUUGCCUUCGGAACGGUGAACCCGGGACUCUCGGUCAUGUCCACCAUUUUAUCACCAAUCCUCUGCCACUCGAAACAUUGAAGGAGCGAGCCCAAUGCUAACCCCACCACUCUCAGGGCCAAGCCUUCUCCAGGACAGCUCCUCCUUCCAUGCCCGAAAGGCAUCAACUUGAACUCGUCUCUUCCCCCCUCCGGGUUGUCGAACCUCUCAGGUCUGAAUUUUGUAGGGUCUGGCCAGAUUUUAGGGUCAUUUUGAAUGGCCCACGUAUUUACAGAGAGCAUCGUGCCCCGUGGAAUGCGGAAUCCUCCAACCAGGCAUUCUUGUGAUGACUCAUGAGGUACUAGCAACGGAGCUGGAGGGUACAUCCGCAACGUUUCGUUGAGGAUGCUGCGGAGGUAGGGAAGGUGGGCAAGAUCAGCUUCAUCCAUCAAACGAUCAUGCCCAAUCUGCUCGUCGAUUUCUCUUUGAGCCUUCUCGAGGACUUGGGGAUGGUUAAGCAAAAGUGAAAGUGCCCAUUCCAUUGUAAUAGAUGAAGUGUCUGUUCCCGCCAAUAAGAGCACCUGCAAGCCAAUAGGCAGUGGAGAUAUCUUAUUCUAGCUGGUGUAACUUGACACGGCAACAACUUCUAACAGUGGAGAUAUCCUACUGCUUGAAUAUUCUAAUACACAAGUUUGCUAUUGCGCAUUUUCAUUUUCUUGACAAAAGGAAGAUCCAAAGACAAGAUAAUGAAAAUUUAACAAUCCUGAAUUAUGACUUAAACAUUAAAGAAAAGUGCUCCAUUAUGAUAUCACUACUCAAUUGAUCAUAAUAAUCAGUAAAUCAAACAACAUGAUUAAAGAUCUUACCAGCAUAAUCCCUUUGAUGAUAUCGUCCGUGUAAUACGCAGGUUCAGUUUCUUGCAGCGACAGCAGAACCUGAAUCAAAUUCUUUUUCUUUUCGCCACAACAAUCACCCUCCAAUAUUUUUCUCCGUUGCUCUUCUACCAAGUACUGCAUGAAACUAUCCCUCUUUAUAUGGCAUUCUAUCAGUCUCUUCUCCAUCUUUUUUGAUUUAAUCCACGGUAUAUAGUCUCCAAUAAUGGUUUUUCCACCUAACACGAAGGCUUCAGCAUGAAUUGCUCGAAACCUUUUUGCUUCUUCCACAUCUGAAACAUUCUCUCCAUAAUAUCUUUUUCCAGCUAUCAUCCGCAUCAUGAUGUUCAGUGUCAGUUCGAAGAAAACUGUCUUCAUAUCUACAAUCUGACUCUGAUUACGAAAGAGAACACAAAUCAUUGACUUCACCUCCUCCAGACGUAUGGCAGAGAGCAUUUGGAGGCGGUAUGCAGACAAGACUUCAAUAGAGACGAUCUUCCUAAG
This 13685-nucleotide long non-coding RNA is filed under the name Populus tremula. Its description in RNAcentral is "long non-coding RNA (PTRE_LNC000892)". Lineage: Eukaryota; Viridiplantae; Streptophyta; Magnoliopsida; Malpighiales; Salicaceae. The record is from RNAcentral.